This 445-nucleotide ribosomal RNA is filed under the name uncultured bacterium. RNAcentral describes it as "partial 16S ribosomal RNA". It matches the Rfam family "Bacterial small subunit ribosomal RNA", at positions 354 to 796 of the family's 1533-position model. The record is from RNAcentral.
GUGAGGAAUAUUGCGCAAUGGAGGCAACUCUGACGCAGCCAUGCCGCGUGCAGGAAGAAGGCGCUACGCGUUGUAAACUGCUUUUAACCGGGAAGAAACCCCAGGACGUGUCCUGGGUUGACGGUACCGGAGGAAUAAGCACCGGCUAACUUCGUGCCAGCAGCCGCGGUAAUACGAAGGGUGCAAGCGUUAUCCGGAUUCAUUGGGUUUAAAGGGUGCGUAGGCGGAGCGUUAAGUCAGUGGUGAAAUCCUGCAGCUUAACUGUAGACUUGCCAUUGAUACUGGCGCUCUUGAGUGCGCUUGAAGUGGGCGGAAUGUGCCGUGUAGCGGUGAAAUGCUUAGAUAUGGCACAGAACACCAAUUGCGAAGACAGCUCACUAAGGCGAUACUGACGCUGAGGCACGAAAGCGUGGGGAUCGAACAGGAUUAGAAACCCGAGUAGUCC